This 253-nucleotide ribosomal RNA is filed under the name uncultured bacterium. Its description in RNAcentral is "partial 16S ribosomal RNA". It matches the Rfam family "Bacterial small subunit ribosomal RNA", at positions 524 to 776 of the family's 1533-position model. The record is from RNAcentral.
UACGUAGGGUGCGAGCGUUGUCCGGAAUUAUUGGGCGUAAAGGGCUCGUAGGCGGUUUGUCGCGUCGGGAGUGAAAACACACAGCUUAACUGUGUGCUUGCUUCCGAUACGGACAGACUAGAGGUAUGCAGGGGAGAACGGAAUUCCUGGUGUAGCGGUGAAAUGCGCAGAUAUCAGGAGGAACACCGGUGGCGAAGGCGGUUCUCUGGGCAUUACCUGACGCUGAGGAGCGAAAGUGUGGGGAGCGAACAGG